RNAcentral lists this ribosomal RNA (497 nucleotides) under uncultured bacterium. RNAcentral's name for it is "partial 16S ribosomal RNA". It matches the Rfam family "Bacterial small subunit ribosomal RNA", at positions 28 to 507 of the family's 1533-position model. The record is from RNAcentral.
GAUGAACGCUGGCGGCGUGCCUAAUACAUGCAAGUCGAGCGAACGGACGAGAAGCUUGCUUCUCUGAUGUUAGCGGCGGACGGGUGAGUAACACGUGGAUAACCUACCUAUAAGACUGGGAUAACUUCGGGAAACCGGAGCUAAUACCGGAUAAUAUUUUGAACCGCAUGGUUCAAAAGUGAAAGACGGUCUUGCUGUCACUUAUAGAUGGAUCCGCGCUGCAUUAGCUAGUUGGUAAGGUAACGGCUUACCAAGGCAACGAUGCAUAGCCGACCUGAGAGGGUGAUCGGCCACACUGGAACUGAGACACGGUCCAGACUCCUACGUGAGGCAGCAGUAGGGAAUCUUCCGCAAUGGGCGAAAGCCUGACGGAGCAACGCCGCGUGAGUGAUGAAGGUCUUCGGAUCGUAAAACUCUGUUAUUAGGGAAGAACAUAUGUGUAAGUAACUGUGCACAUCUUGACGGUACCUAAUCAGAAAGCCACGGCUAACUACGUG